RNAcentral lists this ribosomal RNA (467 nucleotides) under uncultured bacterium. RNAcentral's name for it is "partial 16S ribosomal RNA". It matches the Rfam family "Bacterial small subunit ribosomal RNA", at positions 29 to 507 of the family's 1533-position model. The record is from RNAcentral.
ACGAACGCUGGCGGCGUGCUUAACACAUGCCAGUCGAACGGAAAGGCCCUGCUUUUGUGGGGUGCUCGAGUGGCGAACGGGUGAGUAACACGUGAGUAACCUGCCCUUGACUUUGGGAUAACUUCAGGAAACUGGGGCUAAUACCGGAUAGGAGCUCCUGCUGCAUGGUGGGGGUUGGAAAGUUUCGGCGGUUGGGGAUGGACUCGCGGCUUAUCAGCUUGUUGGUGGGGUAGUGGCUUACCAAGGCUUUGACGGGUAGCCGGCCUGAGAGGGUGACCGGCCACAUUGGGACUGAGAUACGGCCCAGACUCCUACGGGAGGCAGCAGUGGGGAAUAUUGCCCAAUGGGAGGAAGCCUGAUGCAGCAACGCCGCGUGCGGGAUGACGGCCUUCGGGUUGUAAACCGCUUUCGCCUGUGACGAAGCGUGAGUGACGGUAAUGGGUAAAGAAGCACCGGCUAACUACGUG